GUGCUCCCUUCAACAGCACAUAUACUAAAAUUGGAAUGAUACAAAGAUUAGCAUGGCUCCUGUGUGAGGAUGACAUGCAAAUUUGUGAAACAUUCCAUAUUUUU
Molecule: small nuclear RNA, 104 nt
Filed under: Dasypus novemcinctus (nine-banded armadillo)
Lineage: Eukaryota; Metazoa; Chordata; Mammalia; Cingulata; Dasypodidae
Source: RNAcentral